This 420-nucleotide ribosomal RNA is filed under the name uncultured bacterium. RNAcentral's name for it is "bacterial SSU rRNA". It matches the Rfam family "Bacterial small subunit ribosomal RNA", at positions 8 to 482 of the family's 1533-position model. The record is from RNAcentral.
AGAGUUUAAUCCUGGCUCAGGAUUAACGUUGGCAGUGCACCUAAUAUAUGCAAGUCGAGCGAUAUAGCGGCAGACGAGAGAGUAAUAGUAAGGAACUUACCCCCGAGUGAAGGAUAGCCAGCCGAAAGGUUGGGUAAUCCUGCAUAAUAUCGAAAGAUCAAAGCCUUCGGGCGCUUGGGGAGAGGCCUUACUCCUAUCAGCUUGUUGGUGAGGUAAUGGCUCACCAAGGCGAUGACGGGUAGCUGGUCUGAGAGGAUGAUCAGCCUCGAUGGGACUGAGACACGGCCCAUACUCCUACGGGAGGCAGCAAUAAGGGAUUUUGCACAAUGGGCGAAAGCCUGAUGCAGUGACACUGCGUGAAGGAUGAAAGUUUUCGGAUCGUAAACUUCUUUUAUCAGGGAGUAAUCUGAAAGUACCUGA